AGUGGUGUUGUUCAUAGGAGGAACAUUGCCAGCCUGUUGCACGUUCUCCUCGUUGGUAAGUAUAGGCGUCUCCACGGUCUCAUUUCCACUGUUAAUAUUCUCAGUCGACAUUCUCAAAUACUGUCAUAAAACAAGGGUUAAUUAAGGAAAUCAAUAUAUCACAUAAUAUCCCUAUAUACUGACCAACUAACAAAUAAGCUUAGGUAGGACACACUAGCGAAGGAUUUACUCGUCUCUCCCCUCCUAGUUCUAUUCCCCGAUCUCCGCCAGAGAUCAUAUCCCUAAGCUCUGAUACCAACUGUGACGCCCCCAAAAUAGGUAUACAUCACCCAUUCUGAGUUGUCA
RNAcentral lists this long non-coding RNA (345 nucleotides) under Panax ginseng (ginseng). RNAcentral describes it as "long non-coding RNA (PGIN_LNC012736)". The record is from RNAcentral. Lineage: Eukaryota; Viridiplantae; Streptophyta; Magnoliopsida; Apiales; Araliaceae.